CCUACGGGUGGCAGCAGUGAGGAAUAUUGGUCAAUGGUCGUGAGACUGAACCAGCCAAGUAGCGUGCGGGAUGAAGGCUCUAUGGAUUGUAAACUGCUUUUAUACGGGGAUAAAGUGUGUGACGUUUCCUGUUUUGUAGGUACCUUAUGAAUAAGGACCGGCUAAUUCCGUGCCAGCAGCCGCGGUAAUACGGAGGGUCCGGGCGUUAUCCGGAUUUAUUGGGUUUAAAGGGUGCGUAGGCGGCAUUUUAAGCCUGCGGUGAAAGUCCGUGGCUCAACCAUUGAACUGCGGUUGAAACUGGCUUGCUUGAGUAUGUGGAAGGUAGGCGGAAUGCGUGGUGUAGCGGUGAAAUGCGUAGAUAUCACGCAGAACCCCGAUUGCGAAGGCAGCAUAC
RNAcentral lists this ribosomal RNA (394 nucleotides) under uncultured bacterium. Its description in RNAcentral is "partial 16S ribosomal RNA". It matches the Rfam family "Bacterial small subunit ribosomal RNA", at positions 338 to 729 of the family's 1533-position model. The record is from RNAcentral.